Taeniopygia guttata (zebra finch) is the source of this 1952-nucleotide non-coding RNA. NCBI's taxonomy places the organism in Eukaryota, Metazoa, Chordata, Aves, Passeriformes, Estrildidae. The record is from RefSeq and is a predicted model, not a curated record.
ACCCCCUUACAAGAUGGCACUGGCCACGCCACUUGUAACAUGUUUACCCGCACCAAUCCUUCUCUUCCGCCCCUGGUUUCCCGCCAGCCCCACCCUCUCCUCAAGGGCCCCAACAAUCAAAAUUGCCGCGAGGCUAGUCCCUGUGCGGGGGAAGGCAGGGUUGGAUAUUCCCUAAUCCUUCUUCUAGCUCCUCCUCUGGUGGGACGGAUCGCUGUCGAGGACCUCCCAUCAGAGGACCCUCCUUCUUAGAAGAUCACUCCCCUUCUCGGGGGGUGGGUCUCCUUUGAGGGAAGGGGGGGCUGAAACCCCGGACCGGAAACCCACCAUUUUGUCUUCCCCCUAAGAUGGCGGCGCCCUGGUCCACUCCUUACCGAUUCCCCUUAUCCAUCAUGACAGUCACUAAUCAAGUGAUUGUCUGAUUCCCCUAUCCCAUUCCUUGAUGCACCCUACCCAAUGUUCCCUUUUAUUUAAUAAUCUAUUUGUUGAGUUAUAUUUUAUAGAAAGAAAUAUCAUCCUAUUUAGUUUAUACACACGGUAUUAUGCCCACUCCGUAAAUAAAGAAUAAAAUCAGACAAGCCAUGUCACCGCUCGCUGCCUUAACUCUGCUAUACGAAUUUCGUGAAGGCAAACAUCUCCAGCGCCGCGACAGCCCAAGUUUCAAAUCAGAUCAAGCUAUGAAUCCUGCUGAGUGUUUUACCCCGAAUUCAGAAUUUAUUUAUGUCAAUUUUAUACGCUUUAUAUAUUAAGUUGUUUUAUUGUAAUUGUAAUUAAUUUGUACUUUUCUGAUGUUUUUCAACUUAUUUCCGUUUAGUAAUUUGUAAUGUUACUAUAUGAUUUUGUUGUGUUUUACAUAUGAAGUUUAUAUUAUUUAUAUGCAGUAUUAAUUUGUUUAAACAUCAGAACUCUCCUUUUGCAAAAAGAAAGGGGGAGAUGAGGGAGCGUGUUUUUUAUUCUUUCAGUGUCUGUUCACACCCCCUCCCCCCCAUCUCACUCCUAACCCCCUUUUCUCCAAGAUGUGAAUCCUCCCUUCCCCUGCCACUUUCCCUGCCCCUUUUCCCAGAACAGUCCCUGUCUAUUUAGUGAGGCUCAACACCCUAUUGGUUACCUUGUGUUACUCCACUCCCCUGUUUCCCCUGAUAAGUUUAUGAUAUGUUAGUCCUGCCCCAAACUCCUCCCCUGUUAUUCCCCUAUUGGUUGCUGUUCCUAUACGCCUCCUCAUAAGUUCUUGUAUAAAACAUCUGUCCGCCCGCCCCAAGGCGUCUUGGGCCACGCGAAAUAAACGGAACCUGUUCACCCCAAGUCCCGUGCCGCCUCCAUCUGUCCCCGCACCAACAACUGGGACUGCAGAGCUUCAUAGGGGGCCCCUCCUCUUCCCUCGCCGCCCAGCACGCCCGCGCUCAGGGUGUCGCAGUGAAAGGGUGCCGACUGCGACGCAACAAAAAGGAACCUCCUCCAAGGAAGAUGACAUCAGAAUGAGUUAAGAGCAUGUGUGUCUACUUCAUGAAAGACUGUGGGGCAUUUACCCACCACCUCUACUAAAGAUUUGCAAUCAGUGUGCUGGAAGAAAGAUCUCAAUAUCCCACUGACUCAAUAUUUCUUCAUCAUCAAGUAUUAAACAAGAUUUUUUUUUCAAUUCAAGUAUAGUAAAACAGUAUUGAUUGAGGUACAAUCCUCAACCAGGUGAAUUCAGUGGCAAAACUAACACAUUGAUCUAACCAAAUGGAAUAAAUAUCUACCACAACAUAUUAAAAGCCAUAUUUUGAAGUGAGUGGGUGACUCUCGUCGUAACUUUUUGUCCAGAUCUGCAAGAUGUACAUAUUUUUUUUUUCAAAGCUCAGCAUAUUCACUGCUUAACUCUUCAGAAAUCUGGCUAUUUUUUUGGUGAGAUAAAUAAAAGAUGAAUUCACUUUAAAAUGUACUUCUUACAUACCAUAAUAAAAAAAGUAUCAGAA